RNAcentral lists this transfer RNA (83 nucleotides) under Vibrio phage 1.007.O._10N.261.55.F9. Its description in RNAcentral is "tRNA-Ser". It matches the Rfam family "tRNA". Rfam says of the family: Transfer RNA (tRNA) molecules are approximately 80 nucleotides in length. Their secondary structure includes four short double-helical elements and three loops (D, anti-codon, and T loops). The record is from RNAcentral. Lineage: Duplodnaviria; Heunggongvirae; Uroviricota; Caudoviricetes. RNAcentral also lists the same sequence under 1 other name.
GGUAGAUUGGCAGAGUGGUAAUGCAGAUGGUUGCUAACCAUUACAACGGAAACGUUGCAUAAGUUCGAAUCUUAUAUCUACCG